RNAcentral lists this ribosomal RNA (460 nucleotides) under uncultured bacterium. RNAcentral describes it as "partial 16S ribosomal RNA". It matches the Rfam family "Bacterial small subunit ribosomal RNA", at positions 338 to 795 of the family's 1533-position model. The record is from RNAcentral.
CCUACGGGGGGCAGCAGUGGGGAAUAUUGGUCAAUGGGCGAAACUCUGAUCCAGCCACGUAGCGUGAAGGAUGACUGCCCUAUGGGUUGUAAACUUCGUUUGUAUGGGAGUAAAAUGUUCCACGUGUGGGAUUUUGUAUGUACCAUAUGAAUAAGGAUCGGCUAACUCCGUGCCAGCAGCCGCGGUAAUACGGAGGAUCCGAGCGUUAUCCGGAUUUAUUGGGUGUAAAGGGAGCGUAGGUGGAUUCUUAAGUCAGUUGUGAAAGUUUGCGGCUCAACCGUAAAAUUGCAGUUGAAACUGGCAGUCUUGAGUACAGUAGAGGUGGGCGGAAUUCGUGGUGUAGCGGUGAAAUGCUUAGAUAUCACGAAGAACUCCGAUGGCGAAGGCAGCUUACUGGACUGCAACUGACAUUGAGGCUCGAAAGUGUGGGUAUCAAACAGGAUUAGAUACCCGAGUAGUC